CAGAGGGUGCGAGCGUUGUCCGGAAUCACUGGGCGUAAAGGGCGCGUAGGCGGCUUUUCAAGCGUGCGGUGAAAGCUCGGGGCUUAACUCCGAGUCUGCCGUGCGAACUGGGAGGCUUGAGUCUGGUAGAGGUCGAUGGAAUUCCGGGUGUAGCGGUGGAAUGCGUAGAGAUCCGGAAGAACACCGGUGGCGAAGGCGGUCGACUGGGCCAGAACUGACGCUGAGGCGCGACAGCGUGGGGAGCAAACAGGAUUAGAUACCCUGGUAGUCCACGCCGUAAACGAUGGGCACUAGGUCCUUGGGGGAGCGACCCCCUGAGGGCCGGCGCUAACGCAUUAAGUGCCCCGCCUGGGGAGUACGGCCGCAAGGCUG
Molecule: ribosomal RNA, 372 nt
Filed under: uncultured organism
Description: bacterial SSU rRNA
Rfam family: Bacterial small subunit ribosomal RNA
Source: RNAcentral